UACUCUCGCCACAAGGUCUGGACGGUCUUGUGGUGUCUGUCCGGGUUCAAGUUUGGAUGUAAUCUCCUCCCAGUGUGGGUUGCAAGUGAUUGUGAUAAAGUAAUCAGGCUUCCCAAACCGCUGGACUAACGCCAUCGCAUUGAGGAAUCUUCGCUGCAUGUCUCUAUCACCUCCUGGAAAAGUCCGCGGUAGCACAAUUCUCCUACCAACAUGCUUACCACGUGUCUCGCCAGCAUACAUGACGUCAACAACACCCUUCAUUAAUAAAACAAUCAAAACAUCAUUGUCCUGUUAAUUGACAUGCGUAGGGGAGGCGGUGCGUGUGUGAUAUAACAUGGAGACGAUAUGAUACCUGGUAUAAAUCAGCAUGAAUGCGCUUCUGACUCUUAGGAUUGGAGAAAAAAUCAAGUCUCAUAGUCUCACACUUUAUGUACAUGUUGACAGCCCAUUGCUGGAGCUCGCGUGCACCGAACAAUAUAAUGUUGAAAAGUCCUUUCCUAACUUGUAGCUUGAAGCAAUAGUACUCCCUGGCGCUAACAAAUUUUCUUUUACCUCCGUUUUCACCAUCAUCCUGGUCCUCUUCAUCCUGGUCAUCUUCAUCAUCUGGAACAUGGAUGAGAAAAUGAUUAAUCGUCGAUCGUUAUUAAGAAUCAUUAAAAAGUGAAACUUGUUUUGUCAGCAUGGGGAUAAUUACCUGCUACCUCAUCCGUGUUUUCUUCCAGAUGUACAUUGGAACUUUGGUCUAGAUCUUGCAAGGGUUCACGCUCUGUGUCAUCCUCUUUGUCCCCUUGCUAAGUGACUUUACGUGGUAUCUCAUAUGGUAUCCGACGGUUCCACCCCGUCUCCCCUCUCGGGAAGAAUAAUGGAUACGCCAAAGGAUCAUAGCAACCAUAGUAAGCUCUAAUAAAUAUAGGACGGUCCCCUUUGCCAUGCACGACAACCUGCCUAUCAAAAGUGUUUUGCGGGUCACUACCUUCAACCCACAUCGCGGCCACCUGUGAAGCUAUGGGGACAUUGUACCUUCUCUGGUCCAGUCUUAUGUCCGUGUUAAGGGAUAUUCUAUAUUCUUCCAGGUUCGGAACAGAUCCACAGCUUUUAAAGGUCUUCACAUAGGGGUUGUCCUUUAGUAUCUCCAGAAUGGCCCGUAUGAUAUUGAUAUCAAGAUCUGGAGACCGCUUCACUCUAUGUUCCAAGGUUACAUCUGUAUCAUAGAAGUAGAGCUGGAGAUGUCUAGGUCCUUUAUCACCUGGCACCAGAUCAUCCAUUUUAUAAUAUAGUGCCCCUUGUGCACGAAAUGUAUACACACCGGUUCUCGCCGCACUGCUGAUGGUCUUGUCGAGGGUCACUCCAAGGCUUGUGAAGGAGAAGUGGGUGUUGAAAUAUCGAAUAUGCUUUCUGAAAUAUUUCGCAUCAGCAUCAACCUAACUUGUAAACAAACGGCGCAACUCUUGAGGAACUUCAGGGGUAGCUAUCUUGACUUUUCCUUUUCUGCAACAGAAAGCAGGGCCCUCAUAUUGUAGCUUCAUUGCUCCACAAUGGAUGCAGUCUGGUACUGUUUUCAAAACAUGAUGCUUCUUUGGCAGAUUGUGGUACAUGAAGUCAUAAGAAUCAUCAUUCUGUUCACUCUGAGGCACAUCAGUUGUCAAUCGCUGGCAUGCUUCAUUUGUAUGGAACCAAGCGGACUCAUCGUCACCGCCCACCUGAGAUGCAUACUCGUGAACAUGUGUCGCCAUACCUGUAAGUAGUUGCACCUACAAAUUUAGCAUUUCUAACAUGGCACAUAUAUGUUGGAAGCAUAGAACACAUGACCUUCUUUAGUAGCCUGGGUGACUCCAGAUAUUCUGGUGGCCUGUGUAGAGCAUGGUAUGUUUUCAUCAUUAACAGGGGCGGUUGCCUGUUUUUUAAGAUCCCGUAGUUCAUGUCGGCGUUUUAAAAUCUCAUAUUUUUUAUUUGCAUACCGCUCCCUAUCCCUCUGCCUUUUGACCUCUUUAGAAUCUGCAUACACAUGAGAAGUUAGUAUGUCAGAUAAUAACGAAUGUGAAAUAAUAACGAUCUUACUAAAUAUUGCGCGUUCUGUCAGCUACCUUGACUUUGCCCGUUGGUUAUAUCUUGGAAUGGAGCCCGUGAGGAAGAUGCCAUACCAAAUUUAGGUUCCUCUACCCUUUAAAAUUAAGAGGCAUUAAAACUGCCAGCCAGCAAAUUGUAAUAGUAUCAAUGAAUAAUUGUGAAAUACUGUAUCUUUAGCUAUAAUUUAUAUUUGCAUAUAUAGGUAACUGAUUGACAUCAGUCACCAUUACAUAUCCAUAUGGCACUUUCUGCUUAUUGAUACAAGCAAUGACACCCGAGUAUGGUUAACUUUAGUUUGAACAUACUCUGUGGUUUUGAUCGCAGUAAGAUGACAUCAAUUGGCCACCCCACAAGGAUAUAGUUAGGGUUCCAGGAUUUUGUGGAAAUAUCACGUUACCAGUAUAUUUUCAGCAGGAAUAUAACCUAACAAUCCAGGAAUACACUCAUUUUUGCUACUUGCGCAAAGGAGGUAGUUACAAAUGCAAAGGUCAAUGUAGUGUUGUCUGACAAGGCAGUACUGAAACAUGUAGACAGAGAGCUUGCAAGAUUAGAAAAUGAACUGAAAGAGCCGGAGUCAGCCUCCUGCACAAGUCAUGUCUCAUCUUUGAGAGAGAAGGAUGCACAAAUUAAAAAGGUAAUUUCCCUCACCUGAAAUUUUGAUGCUUACCAAAGAUCAAUUCAAUGGUGACAGCUUUCUCGAUUUUUUUGGCAAAUAAAUAUAUGCAUAUAAUUCAGUCAAUUCAGCGGUGAUAGCAUGAGAACUUUCUUCAAUUCAAUCACAUUGCGCGACUGCAGGACAUCCAGGGAACUGCAGAAAUUAAAAGGUGGUUUUGACUGUAAUUUGGGUGACUUUCCUGCAAAUGUUCUAUCAAAUUCUUGUAGAACCCAGCGUGAGUACAUGGGUGACAAUCAGGGCCGAUUUUGUGAAGAAACCCGAAGAAAGAUGUGGAGUUCGUUUGGCAUCCGUCUAGUGCAGCAGGACGACGACGGCGAGAGGACGGCGAUUGGGCAGCAGUGUGACGACGGCGAGAGGACUGUGUCCUAGACGGCGAUAGUGCAACAGGGCGACGGUGGCGAGAGGACGGCGAUUGGGCAGCAGUGUGACGACGGCGAGAGGACUGUGUCGUGGACGGCGAUAGUGCGGCAGGGCGACGGCAGCGAGAGGACGGCGAUAGUGCUGCCGGGCGAGCACAGCAAGAGGAAAGCGUGCUGGACGUUGAGAACUGCUGCUGGGCGACAAUGGCGGCGAGAGGACUGUGUCGUGGACGGCGAUAGUGCGGCAGGGCGAUGGCAGCGAGAGGACGGCGAUAGUGCUGCCGGGCAAGCACAGCAAGAGGAAAGCGUGCUGGACGUUGAGAACUGCUACUGGGCGACAAUGGCGGCGAGAAGUCGUGCUGGCGAGGGCGAGAGGACGGCAAGAAGUCGUGCUGGCGAGUGCGAGAGGACGGCGAGAAGUCGUGCUGGCGAGGGCGAGAGGACAGCGAGAGUCCUGUUGCGGGGCGUUUGGAACGGUUUUGAUCAGCACGAUCGAUCUUAUUAUUUCGUGGAGCUGGAGACGGUUGUGGUCCGUCCGUCCGCUCCGUUCAAAGAUGUGUGGGAUUUGAGGCGUUGGAUAUAUUGUUUCAAAGGCUCAGAUUAGUUGGA
This is a non-coding RNA of Lolium perenne, 3711 nucleotides long. Lineage: Eukaryota; Viridiplantae; Streptophyta; Magnoliopsida; Poales; Poaceae. The record is from RefSeq and is a predicted model, not a curated record.